GAUGAACGCUGGCGGCGUGCCUAAUACAUGCAAGUCGAGCGAACAGACGAGGAGCUUGCUCCUCUGACGUUAGCGGCGGACGGGUGAGUAACACGUGGAUAACCUACCUAUAAUACUGGUAUAACUUCGGGAAACCGGAGCUAAUACCGGAUAAUAUAUUGAACCGCAUGGUUCAAUAGUGAAAGACGGUUUUGCUGUCUCUUAUAGAUGGAUCCGCGCCGCAUUAGCUAGUUGGUAAGGUAACGGCUUACCAAGGCAACGAUGCGUAGCCGACCUGAGAGGGUGAUCGGCCACACGGGAAGUGAGACAGGGACCAGACUCCUACGGGAGGCAGCAGUAGGGAAUCUUCGGCAAUGGGCGAAAACCUGACGGAGCAACGCCGCGUGAGUGAUGAAGGUCUUCGGAUCGUAAAACUCUGUUAUUAGGGAAGAACAAAUGUGUAAGUAAAUAUGCACGUAUUGACGGUAACUAAUCAGAAAGCCACGGCUAACUACGUG
RNAcentral lists this ribosomal RNA (497 nucleotides) under uncultured bacterium. Its description in RNAcentral is "partial 16S ribosomal RNA". It matches the Rfam family "Bacterial small subunit ribosomal RNA", at positions 28 to 507 of the family's 1533-position model. The record is from RNAcentral.